This 254-nucleotide ribosomal RNA is filed under the name uncultured bacterium. Its description in RNAcentral is "partial 16S ribosomal RNA". It matches the Rfam family "Bacterial small subunit ribosomal RNA", at positions 524 to 776 of the family's 1533-position model. The record is from RNAcentral.
UACGAAGGGGGCUAGCGUUGCUCGGAAUCACUGGGCGUAAAGCGCACGUAGGCGGGUCGUUAAGUCGGGGGUGAAAUCCUGGAGCUCAACUCCAGAACUGCCUUCGAUACUGGCGAUCUUGGAGUCCGGGAGAGGUGAGUGGAACUGCGAGUGUAGAGGUGAAAUUCGUAGAUAUUCGCAAGAACACCAGUGGCGAAGGCGGCUCACUGGCCCGGUACUGACGCUGAGGUGCGAAAGCGUGGGGAGCAAACAGG